RNAcentral lists this ribosomal RNA (492 nucleotides) under uncultured bacterium. Its description in RNAcentral is "partial 16S ribosomal RNA". It matches the Rfam family "Bacterial small subunit ribosomal RNA", at positions 29 to 507 of the family's 1533-position model. The record is from RNAcentral.
AGUGAACGCUGGCGGUAGGCCUAACACAUGCUAGUCGAACGGCAGCACAGUAAGAGCUUGCUCUUACGGGUGGCGAGUGGCGGACGGGUGAGGAAUACAUCGGAAUCUACUUUUUCGUGGGGGAUAACGUAGGGAAACUUACGCUAAUACCGCAUACGACCUACGGGUGAAAGCAGGGGAUCUUCGGACCUUGCGCGAUUGAAUGAGCCGAUGUCGGAUUAGCUAGUUGGCGGGGUAAAGGCCCACCAAGGCGACGAUCCGUAGCUGGUCUGAGAGGAUGAUCAGCCACACUGGAACUGAGACACGGUCCAGACUCCUACGGGAGGCAGCAGUGGGGAGUAUUGGACAAUGGGCGCAAGCCUGAUCCAGCCAUACCGCGUGGGUGAAGAAGGCCUUCGGGUUGUAAAGCCCUUUUGUUGGGAAAGAAAAGCAGCAGGUUAAUACCCCGCUGUUCUGACGGUACCCAAAGAAUAAGCACCGGCUAACUUCGUG